RNAcentral lists this ribosomal RNA (460 nucleotides) under uncultured bacterium. Its description in RNAcentral is "partial 16S ribosomal RNA". It matches the Rfam family "Bacterial small subunit ribosomal RNA", at positions 338 to 795 of the family's 1533-position model. The record is from RNAcentral.
CCUACGGGAGGCAGCAGUGAGGAAUAUUGGUCAAUGGACGAGAGUCUGAACCAGCCAAGUAGCGUGAAGGAUGACUGCCCUAUGGGUUGUAAACUUCUUUUAUAUGGGAAUAAAAUGUUCCACGUGUGGGCUUUUGUAUGUACCAUAUGAAUAAGGAUCGGCUAACUCCGUGCCAGCAGCCGCGGUAAUACGGAGGAUGCGAGCGUUAUCCGGAUUUAUUGGGUUUAAAGGGAGCGUAGGUGGGUUGUUAAGUCAGUUGUGAAAGUCUGCGGCUCAACCGUAAAAUUGCAGUUGAAACUGGCAGUCUUGAGUACAGUAGAGGUAGGCGGAAUUCGUGGUGUAGCGGUGAAAUGCUUAGAUAUCACGAAGAACUCCGAUUGCGAAGGCAGCUCACUGGACUGCAACUGACACUGAGGCUCGAAAGUGUGGGUAUCAAACAGGAUUAGAUACCCUUGUAGUC